RNAcentral lists this ribosomal RNA (484 nucleotides) under uncultured bacterium. RNAcentral's name for it is "partial 16S ribosomal RNA". It matches the Rfam family "Bacterial small subunit ribosomal RNA", at positions 28 to 507 of the family's 1533-position model. The record is from RNAcentral.
AUUGAACGCUGGCUGCAUGCUUUACACAUGCAAGUCGAACGGCAGCGCGGGCUUCGGCCUGGCGGCGAGUGGCGAACGGGUGAGUAAUGCAUCGGAACGUGCCCAGUAGUGGGGGAUAGCCCGGCGAAAGCCGGAUUAAUACCGCAUACGACCUGAGGGUGAAAGCGGGGGACCGAAAGGCCUCGCGCUAUUGGAGCGGCCGAUGUCGGAUUAGCUAGUUGGUGGGGUAAAGGCUUACCAAGGCGACGAUCCGUAGCUGGUCUGAGAGGACGACCAGCCACACUGGGACUGAGACACGGCCCAGACUCCUACGGGAGGCAGCAGUGGGGAAUUUUGGACAAUGGGGGCAACCCUGAUCCAGCCAUGCCGCGUGCGGGAAGAAGGCCUUCGGGUUGUAAACCGCUUUUGUUCGGGAAGAAAUCCUCUGGGCUAAUACCCCGGGGGGAUGACGGUACCGGAAGAAUAAGCACCGGCUAACUACGUG